RNAcentral lists this ribosomal RNA (155 nucleotides) under uncultured bacterium. Its description in RNAcentral is "partial 16S ribosomal RNA". It matches the Rfam family "Bacterial small subunit ribosomal RNA", at positions 355 to 504 of the family's 1533-position model. The record is from RNAcentral.
CGGGGAAUAUUGGACAAUGGGCGCAAGCCUGAUCCAGCCAUGCCGCGUGGGUGAUGAAGGCCCUAGGGUUGUAAAGCCCUUUCAGUUGGGACGAAGCUUCACCGGUUAACAGCCGGUCGGAGUGACGGACUUCAGAAGAAGCCCCGGCUAACUAC